UAUCUCACUCUCGCUCACAUCUAAUCCUGCCUCCACCUUUUUCCCAGGAACCUUCCGGGACGGCCGCCGUCGUCAAGUUCGUCUACGGCGUCGCUGACCUCGCGGCGGACCGUAUCGUCGCCUGGGAGCUUUUCCGCUUGUUCAAGCCGUACCCCAGCACAGCCCGCGUCUCCCCUGCAUCUCCGCACACUCCCACCUCUGCGCCCCAUUCGUCGUCGGCUCGUCGUUGACGGAGCUCGCACCUGGCCGGCCUCGACUUCGCCCGCGUCGACGCCCUGGAACCGCUCAGGCCCGACCGAGGCGUCAGGGCAAGCCUCCGCUCGACCACGCCGUCAUCGCGCCCUUCUACUACCGCUCCUGAGACCCCCGAAUGCGAACGCUAUCGGAGAAGGAGAGGAUCUUGGUGAGGAUUUCGAAGAGGAAGAAAGAGCUGAUGAUUCACGAAGAUGAAGUCCAGGGGCAUAUAGCCAACAAAGGAAAGCCACCUCUUGAUGCAUACCUUAUCCUAAUUGUCUUACUCUUGCAUUAUUACAGGUUUUAUAAAUUGCAUGUCUUUUAUUUAUUUAUGUGAGUGGUUAUAUCCACUCGGAGUUAUAUUAUUCCACCCUUACGGGUGCUGCCCCUCGUUGAUACCUACUGGACAAUCUUGGUAGUGAUUUGGUGCUUAACACCUUA
Molecule: long non-coding RNA, 675 nt
Organism: Lolium perenne
Lineage: Eukaryota; Viridiplantae; Streptophyta; Magnoliopsida; Poales; Poaceae
Source: RefSeq, a predicted model, not a curated record